RNAcentral lists this ribosomal RNA (1237 nucleotides) under metagenome. Its description in RNAcentral is "bacterial LSU rRNA". It matches the Rfam family "Bacterial large subunit ribosomal RNA", at positions 1669 to 2925 of the family's 2925-position model. The record is from RNAcentral.
AGGAGAGAAUCCUAAGGCCGACGGAAGAAGCAUUGUUAAGGAAUUCGGCAAAAUGACCCCGUAACUUCGGGAGAAGGGGUGCCUGCGAGAGCAGGCCGCAGAGAGUAGGCUCAAGCAACUGUUUAGCAAAAACACAGGUCUAUGCGAAACCGAAAGGUGAAGUAUAUGGGCUGACGCCUGCCCGGUGCUGGAAGGUUAAGAGGAGAGGUUAGCGAAAGCGGAGCUUUGAAUUUAAGCCCCAGUAAACGGCGGCCGUAACAAUAACGGUCCUAAGGUAGCGAAAUUCCUUGUCGGGUAAGUUCCGACCCGCACGAAAGGCGUAAUGAUUUGAGCACUGUCUCGACAAUGCAUCCGGUGAAAUUGAAGUACCAGUGAAGAUGCUGGUUACCCGCGCCAGGACGGAAAGACCCCAUGGAGCUUUACUCCAGUUUGAUACUGGGAUUCGGUACUGCAUGUACAGGAUAGGUGGGAGACGAAGAAGGAUGGACGCCAGUCUGUCCGGAGUCGCUGUUGGGAUACCACCCCUGUAGUACUGGGUUUCUAACCAGUUACCAUGAUCUGGUAAUGGGACAAUGUCAGGCGGGGAGUUUGACUGGGGCGGACGCCUCCGAAAGGGCAUCGGAGGCGCUCAAAGGUUCCCUCAGAAUGGUUGGAAACCAUUUGAAGAGUGCAAAGGCAGAAGGGAGCUUGACUGCGACACCGACGGGUGGAGCAGGUACGAAAGUAGGACUUAGUGAUCCGGUGGUAUAAAGUGGGAUUGCCAUCGCUCAACGGAUAAAAGCUACCCUGGGAUAACAGGCUUAUCACUCCCAAGAGUUCACAUCGACGGAGUGGUUUGGCACCUCGAUGUCGGCUCAUCGCAUCCUGGGGCUGUAGCAGGUCCCAAGGGUUGGGCUGUCCGCCCAUUAAAGCGGUACGCGAGCUGGGUUCAGAACGUCGUGAGACAGUUCGGUCCCUAUCCGGCGCGGGCGGAGGAUAUUUGAGAGGAGCUGUCCUUAGUACGAGAGGACCGGGAUGGACGGACCACUGGUGUAUCUGUUGUCGACCAACGGCAUGGCAGAGUAGCCAAGUCUGGAAGGGAUAAACGCUGAAGGCAUCUAAGCGUGAAGCCCCCCUCAAGAUGAGAUAUCCCUCCUUCGGGAGUAAGACCCCUUGAAGACUACAAGGUAGAUAGGGCAGAGGUGGAAGCAUGGCAACAUGUGGAGCUGACUGUUACUAAUAGGUCGAGGGCUUAAAA